GGGGAUGGGGCCUCCACAAGUCCAAUGUCCAAUGAAUAAAUAUUAAAAUUUGUUUUAUCACAGUUCAAGUAUCUUUCUCUAGAACCAACUACCAAUGUCAACUUAGAAGUAGAAACACAUCUCCAGAUAAGGACUAGAUAAGCCUUUCAGUAAAAAUUAUGUAUCAGAUAUGUCACCUUUCACAUUGUAUCUUUUUCACUAGUCAGUCCCAAAAAUAAAAUAAAAUAAAAUAAAAAAAUGCAAAGAAUCUCCUAACCUAACAUGACUGAUUUUGGUCAAAUUUUUUAACAACAUGCAGGUGGGAGAAUUGGCGGGAAUCGCGGUGGGAGCAACUGUCAUGCUCAACAUACUCAUAGCUGGGUAUGUCAGAAACCCCAACCUAUUUUACUGCAAAAUCUCACUUUCGGCUGGUUGGCUGAAUAAUGAAUGCAUGAGCUAUGUUACAGUCAAGUCCUCCGUGCACGGUGAGUCAUUUCUGGUCGUCGAUCAUUGUGGGACCCACAUUUGAUCAACGGUCAAGAACGGCCUGCCUGAACGAUUGGUCUUAGCAAAAUCCAUGAUUCUAUAUGAAUGGGUCUAUUUAUCUGAAAGGACCUCUACCAAGUCCUUGAGAUACAGUAAGAACACAGUUCACAGGCACGAUGAAUUAAAUACAUUCUAAAUUCUAUGUAGAAAAAUGAAUUCAGCAAGUCAAUAUGAAAGGGAAGUCAUACAGCUCAAAGAAUUACUCGAGAAUAGUACUAUUUCAGCAUGGUAUCUUGAAACUUUCUUUAAUUUUCGACUAUUGUGCAGGGAAACAACAGGAGCUUCCAUGAACCCAGUGAGAACAUUAGGGCCAGCCAUAGCUGCAAACAACUACAAAGCCAUAUGGGUCUACCUGACUGCACCAUUUCUCGGGGCACUCUUUGGGGCGGGAACUUAUACGGCUGUCAAGCUGCCCGAGGAAGAUGGUGACCAUAUUGAAAAGCCUUCAACAAGGAGCUUCAGAAGAUGACCGAUCAACAUUAUCAUCAGACCUACAUCAAUAAUCCAGAAGCCCACAUCAGGACAUAAUGCAGAAGGCGUGUAGCAAAAGGAAGGGAGAUAAAAUACAGUUGCAUGAUGAGCUCUGGCCGGUACAUACAUAAUAUAUAGAAAGGAAAUAGUCUGUAUUAAUAAUUAGCCAAGAUAGAGAUUCUCUCUUCCCCUCUAAGAAAGAAGAAAUUUACAAACCAAAAGAGUAUGAAGAUGAAAAUUGACACCUUUUUUUUCGGUGUGAUGGGGGCAGAGCAGAAUUGACCUUUGUCUACAUAGAUAUAUGAAACUAGGUAACAAAAUUAUUGUAGUCCUUUCUUAAAAUAAGAUUUGAGAAAAUUGAGCUUUCAAGGAGUUGCAGCAUAUAGUUGUUCACCGGUUUCAUUCUUUCCCAAAAUCCCAGUAAUCACUUAAUGUGCAUGAAGGACUGAAAUUUAAUAUCUUCUGUCAUAUUUCUCCCCAGUCCCCUUCAAAGUUGAAAUGCAAAAUUCCAUUUUAAUCUCAUUUUUCAGUUUUAGCAUAAACAGCAUGUGCUAUCAAUUGACAUGUAAAUAAGCUCAUGGAAAAUUACAAUGACAGCUCACUAACACAAUAAGGAGCCCUUUUGCCUAGGCCCCAGUGAAUGCAUCUUUUCCAUUUUCGACACCAACACCAACACCAAACAUGGUUCCCUUCACAUGAUUAUAUUGGAUUUCACUUUCAAAGUUUCUGAGCUUGGAAUGCACACACACACACACACAUAAAUGCAUACAAGUGCAUACCUAUAUAACGUGCGUAUGUAACAUAAAUACCAUGAAUGCAAUUGGAGAAAAAAAUGUAAUAAAAGAAAAAGUACAGUUCCUUUUAGUAAAGCACUAAAUGCAUAACAUCCAAACGCAACAGAAAAUGCAAAAUGUUUCAUCACUAAAGUAAACAAUCACGGUUCAAACAAAAGUUUAUACAAGAAAAUCGAAACAAGCUGAAGUUUGCCAGGGACAAUCCAGAAUGAAAUCCAACAGAAAACGUAUCAUCGUAGUUCCUCAGGUAAAAACAAUUCAGUACCACAGUGCAAAUAUCUCAUCCCAUUCAAGUUAGUGAAAAACCUAUGAGGAGGUAGCAUGAGAGUUAGAAUCGUGUUCACUUGUUGAAUUGUAUUUACUUGUUGCUUCAUAACCUAAGGGCAGUAGAAAAGAUCACAUCAAAGAAGAAACAGCAUAAAUUAGCAAGAAAUUAGGUUUCAAACAACCUUGCCAAAAUGCUUUCCAGUUCCAUAUAACUAUAGAUUUUAUGCUCCAAAAAAUGUCUGAUCAAACCAAAUAUCUUUGUAAUGUGAUUCCGUCUCACUUAACAAUCAUCCAAACUAGAUUGACAUGACAAGUCAACAACAAGCAGUACACAUUGCAAGGCGACAGAUUUAUCUUCACCUUAUUAAAGAAAUAACUCCUUCACCAUAACUUCGUGACUUUCUAAUGUUAAAGUCCUCAUUUUCAGUAGCCAAAAAUAUCGAAUGAAAUCCCCUAGGAGUUAUAAUGGAUUAACAAAUAGAAACAAACAUACAUAACAUAGAUGCUUAAACAGGAGUACAUGUUCUCAAAUCCUAGAGCAACAACAAUACUCACGUAAUCUAUACAGACAUAAGAUUCUAGUUUGAUAUAUCCGAAAGUUUAAAAUAUAUGUUAAAUAUUGGAAAUUCCAAUACUUCCCAUGCACUCAUAACUAGUUUUUUCAAUGACAUAAAUGGGGUGUCAUACAUACGUAAUAUGUUUAACUUUUGUAGCACGCAGGAAUCCUUCUUCCUUCCAAUCCACAUAAAUAAGAAAGAAGGCUCCACCCCAAAACUCCGAUUUGAAUGAAGCCACAAAGAAGGGUCCGUCCCAAUUUUCCAAUGAGGUCCAUCCGCAUAAACAAGCUCAUACCUUUUAUACCGAUACUCUUACUAUCCCCCUUGAAUGAAACAAGCAUUUCUACCCAAUUUAUCUGUUUCAAAUCCCCAAUUUUUCUGGUUAAGUAAGAGUUAUAGCAACAUAUUCCACUAUUAUAUGUCUUAUUCCGUGCUAAACCAUGUAAGAAAUUCAUUCAAUACAUUGAGGAGAUGAUAAAAGUAAAUGCAACACACGCCCUGGAGCCUGGACAUACACAAAAGAAAGAUGAAUCCUAACGUUGGAGGUCAUCUUAUAGAAACCACAAUAAACUCAAUUGAACAAAAGCGCUUUUCAGAUGCUCAAGCUAACCUGCUUUUAAAAGUGAACAAGAUCAAUCAAGAAAUUAUUGUAAAUUGUAAAAGCAAAUGAAGUAAGCAUAUUGCCAACUACAAUAGUUUAACCAGAGGUAUAAAGAACAACCAAAUCAGCGUAUAUGGCUUUUAUCCUACAUUACAUGUUCAGCAUUUCAGAGAAACAUAAAUUGGAUUUAACAAAGUUAUAAAAAGAAAACCUUACCUAAAGUUAACCAAUUGCUUGAAUGAUUGCCCACUAUGAAAAGCGAAAUGCCUCAUUUUUUUCCUAACUUCUGCCUCACUUAAGUGGAACCCUCUUAAUUUCUCCCAAUCCCAAACUCAAAAUCUCCACUUUCUUGCCUUUUCCCACACUUUCUCACAAUCCAAACAAACUCCUCUUCUUCAACACCGAGCCCCCGAG
RNAcentral lists this long non-coding RNA (3629 nucleotides) under Prunus persica (peach). RNAcentral's name for it is "long non-coding RNA (PPER_LNC003083)". Lineage: Eukaryota; Viridiplantae; Streptophyta; Magnoliopsida; Rosales; Rosaceae. The record is from RNAcentral.